GUGUGCGCAUGCGCCGACAUGGCCUCAAACAACUAUACCCAACAAGCAACCCAAAGCUGUGGGGCUUACCCCACCCAGCCUGGACAGGGCUAUUCCAGCAAAGCAAUCAGCCCUAUGGACAGCAGAGUUACAGUCAGUCAGCGGACACUUCAGGCUAUGGCCAGAGCAGCUAAGGUUCUUAUGGACAGACCCAGAAGAGGUAUAGCACUCAGCCAGCUCCCCAGGGAUAUGGCUCAGCGGGUGGGUAUGGCGGCCAGAGUUCUCAAUCUUCUUACGGGUUGCAGUCCUCCUACCCUGGCUAUGGCCAGCGGCCAGCCCCUAGCAGCACCUCGGGAAGUUAACAGUAGCAGUCCUCAGAGCAGCAACUAUGGGCAGCCCCAGGUUAGGGGAUAUGGUCAGCAGUCUGGCUAUGGUGGACAGCAGCAAAGCUCCUAUAAUCCUCCUCAGGGCUACGGACAGCAGAACCAGUACAACAGUAACGGUGGAGGUGGCGGAUGUAACAACGGUCAAGAUCAAUCCCCCAUGAGCGGUGGUGGCAGUGACUACGGGGGAGGCCAGCAGGACUGAGGGGACUGCGGCCCGGCAGGGGGUGGUUACAACCACAGCAGUGGUGGCUAUGAACCCAGAGGUUGUGGAGGUGGCUGUGGAGGCAGAGGAGGCAUGGGAGGAAGUGACCGUGGUGGCUUCAAUAAAUUUGGUGGCCCUCAGGACCAAGGAUCACAUCAUGACUCUGAACAGGAUAAUUCAGACAAUACCAUCUUCAUAUAAGGCCUGGGAGAGAUUGUUACAAUUGAGUCUGUGGCUGAUUAUUUUAAGCAGAUUGGUAUUAUUAAGACAAAUAAGAAAACUGGACAACCUAUGAUUAAUCUGUACACAGACAGAGAAACAGGCAAGCUGAAGGGAGAGACAACGGUAUCAUUUGAUGACCCAUCUUCUGCUAAAGCAGCUAUUGACUGGUUUGAUGGUAAAGAAUUUUCUGGGAAUCCUAUCAAGGUCUCAUUUGUUACUUGGCGAGCAGAUUUCAAUCGAGGUGGUGGCAAUGGUCGUGGAGGCCGACGGCGAGGAGGACCCAUGGGCCGUGGAGGCUAUGGAGGUGGUGGCAGAGGUGGCAGUGGUGGUGGUGGCCGGGGAGGAUUCCCCAGUGGAGGUGGUGGUGGUGGAGGACAGCAGCGAGCUGGGGACUGAAAGUGUCCUAAUCCUACAUGUGAGAACACGAACUUCUCUUGGAGGAAUGAAUGCAACCAGUGUAAGGACCCUAAACCAGAUGGCCCAGGAGGGGGACCAGGAGGCUCUCAUAUGGGAGGUAGCUAUGGAGAUGAUCGUCGUGGUGGCAGAGGAGGCUAUGAUCGGGGUGGCUACCGAGGCCGAGGCGGGGACCAUGGGGGCUUCUAAGGGGGCCGGGAUGGUGGAGACAGAGGUGGCUUUGGCCCCAGCAAGAUGGACUCCAGAGGUGACCACAGACAGGAUCGCAGGGAGAGGCCAUGCUAGCCUGACUACUGAGGUUCUGGAACAGCUUUUCUUCUAUACC
Molecule: RNA transcript, 1528 nt
Organism: Pteropus alecto (black flying fox)
Lineage: Eukaryota; Metazoa; Chordata; Mammalia; Chiroptera; Pteropodidae
Gene name: RNA-binding protein FUS pseudogene
Exons: 1
Source: RefSeq, a predicted model, not a curated record